This 494-nucleotide ribosomal RNA is filed under the name uncultured bacterium. Its description in RNAcentral is "partial 16S ribosomal RNA". It matches the Rfam family "Bacterial small subunit ribosomal RNA", at positions 28 to 507 of the family's 1533-position model. The record is from RNAcentral.
GACGAACGCUGGCGGCGUGCUUAACACAUGCAAGUCGAACGGUGAAGCGCCUUCCUUUUUGGUGGGUGUGGAUGAGUGGCGAACGGGUGAGUAACACGUGAGUAACCUGCCCCCUUCUUCUGGAUAACCGCAUGAAAGUGUGGCUAAUACGGGAUAUUCUGGGUCUGUCGCAUGAUGGGUCUGGGAAAGAUAUUGUUUCGGUGGGGGAUGGGCUCGCGGCCUAUCAGCUUGUUGGUGGGGUGAUGGCCUACCAAGGCGGUGACGGGUAGCCGGCCUGAGAGGGUGGACGGUCACACUGGGACUGAGACACGGCCCAGACUCCUACGGGAGGCAGCAGUGGGGAAUAUUGCACAAUGGGCGCAAGCCUGAUGCAGCGACGCCGCGUGAGGGGUGGAGGCCUGCGGGUUGUGAACCUCUUUCGCCAGUGAAGCAGGCCUGCCUCGUUUGUGGGUGGGUUGACGGUAGCUGGAGAAGAAGCGCCGGCUAACUACGUG